UACGUAGGGGGCAAGCGUUAUCCGGAUUUACUGGGUGUAAAGGGAGCGUAGGCGGCAGCGCAAGUCAGAAGUGAAAGCCCGGGGCUCAACUCCGGGACUGCUUUUGAAACUGUGUAGCUAGAUUGCAGGAGAGGUAAGUGGAAUUCCUAGUGUAGCGGUGAAAUGCGUAGAUAUUAGGAGGAACACCAGUGGCGAAGGCGGCUUACUGGACUGUAAAUGACGCUGAGGCUCGAAAGCGUGGGGAGCAAACAGG
Molecule: ribosomal RNA, 253 nt
Filed under: Cuneatibacter caecimuris
Lineage: Bacteria; Bacillati; Bacillota; Clostridia; Lachnospirales; Lachnospiraceae
Description: partial 16S ribosomal RNA
Rfam family: Bacterial small subunit ribosomal RNA
Source: RNAcentral